UACGUAGGGGGCAAGCGUUAUCCGGAUUUACUGGGUGUAAAGGGAGCGUAGACGGCCUGGCAAGUCUGAUGUGAAAACCCGGGGCUCAACCGCGGGAUUGCAUUGGAAACUGCUGGGCUUGAGUGCUGGAGGGGCAGGCGGAAUUCCUGGUGUAGCGGUGAAAUGUGUAGAUAUCAGGAAGAGCACCGGUGGCGAAGGCGGCCUGCUGGACGGUAACUGACGUUGAGGCUCGAAAGCGCGGGGAGCAAAC
Molecule: ribosomal RNA, 250 nt
Filed under: uncultured prokaryote
Description: partial 16S ribosomal RNA
Rfam family: Bacterial small subunit ribosomal RNA
Source: RNAcentral